Molecule: ribosomal RNA, 1217 nt
Filed under: Salmonella enterica
Lineage: Bacteria; Pseudomonadati; Pseudomonadota; Gammaproteobacteria; Enterobacterales; Enterobacteriaceae
Description: partial 23S ribosomal RNA
Rfam family: Bacterial large subunit ribosomal RNA
Source: RNAcentral
GACGAGGCACUACGGUGCUGAAGCAACAAAUGCCCUGCUUCCAGGAAAAGCCUCUAAGCAUCAGGUAACAUCAAAUCGUACCCCAAACCGACACAGGUGGUCAGGUAGAGAAUACCAAGGCGCUUGAGAGAACUCGGGUGAAGGAACUAGGCAAAAUGGUGCCGUAACUUCGGGAGAAGGCACGCUGACACGUAGGUGAAGUGAUUUACUCAUGGAGCUGAAGUCAGUCGAAGAUACCAGCUGGCUGCAACUGUUUAUUAAAAACACAGCACUGUGCAAACACGAAAGUGGACGUAUACGGUGUGACGCCUGCCCGGUGCCGGAAGGUUAAUUGAUGGGGUCAGCGCAAGCGAAGCUCCUGAUCGAAGCCCCGGUAAACGGCGGCCGUAACUAUAACGGUCCUAAGGUAGCGAAAUUCCUUGUCGGGUAAGUUCCGACCUGCACGAAUGGCGUAAUGAUGGCCAGGCUGUCUCCACCCGAGACUCAGUGAAAUUGAACUCGCUGUGAAGAUGCAGUGUACCCGCGGCAAGACGGAAAGACCCCGUGAACCUUUACUAUAGCUUGACACUGAACAUUGAGCCUUGAUGUGUAGGAUAGGUGGGAGGCUUUGAAGCGUGGACGCCAGUCUGCGUGGAGCCGGCCUUGAAAUACCACCCUUUAAUGUUUGAUGUUCUAACGUGGACCCGUAAUCCGGGUUGCGGACAGUGUCUGGUGGGUAGUUUGACUGGGGCGGUCUCCUCCUAAAGAGUAACGGAGGAGCACGAAGGUUGGCUAAUCCUGGUCGGACAUCAGGAGGUUAGUGCAAUGGCAUAAGCCAGCUUGACUGCGAGCGUGACGGCGCGAGCAGGUGCGAAAGCAGGUCAUAGUGAUCCGGUGGUUCUGAAUGGAAGGGCCAUCGCUCAACGGAUAAAAGGUACUCCGGGGAUAACAGGCUGAUACCGCCCAAGAGUUCAUAUCGACGGCGGUGUUUGGCACCUCGAUGUCGGCUCAUCACAUCCUGGGGCUGAAGUAGGUCCCAAGGGUAUGGCUGUUCGCCAUUUAAAGUGGUACGCGAGCUGGGUUUAGAACGUCGUGAGACAGUUCGGUCCCUAUCUGCCGUGGGCGCUGGAGAACUGAGGGGGGCUGCUCCUAGUACGAGAGGACCGGAGUGGACGCAUCACUGGUGUUCGGGUUGUCAUGCCAAUGGCACUGCCCGGUAGCUAAAUGCGGAAGAGAUA